UACGGAGGGAGCUAGCGUUGUUCGGAAUUACUGGGCGUAAAGCGUACGUAGGCGGUUAUUCAAGUCAGAGGUGAAAGCCCGGGGCUCAACCCCGGAACUGCCUUUGAAACUAGAUAGCUAGAAUCUUGGAGAGGUCAGUGGAAUUCCGAGUGUAGAGGUGAAAUUCGUAGAUAUUCGGAAGAACACCAGUGGCGAAGGCGACUGACUGGACAAGUAUUGACGCUGAGGUGCGAAAGCGUGGGGGAGCAAACAGG
This 254-nucleotide ribosomal RNA is filed under the name uncultured bacterium. RNAcentral's name for it is "partial 16S ribosomal RNA". It matches the Rfam family "Bacterial small subunit ribosomal RNA", at positions 524 to 776 of the family's 1533-position model. The record is from RNAcentral.